ACGAUUUGUCUCAAUGACUACAUACCAUAAAUGCCGUACAUAAAAUAUUAAUUUGUUUGAAUUCCAUAAUUUCAGGAAAACAAGUAGCACUCUGCUCACUGAAACUCUACUCUUAGUCACCACAAAUGAACAAUUUAAGGAAUAACAAUUGAAAUUUCGAAAAGAAAAAGAAAGCAAAAAACCUGUAAUAAUAGGAAAGAAAAAAUGGUAAAGUCCGAGGUAACCUCUUCUGCAAAGAACAAAGGAAAAGGGCUAUAGCAUUUAGAAUACAAACUGUAAUAAAAUACACAUGAACAGAAGAAGACACAAUCAAACCACUCAUUAAUUUUACGCAAAGUAGGCUGGAUACGGUGUUGGGUACUGCUGCUAAAAUCUGGAGUAGUUCUCAGAAAGGACCGAAGAAAAAUUCCAAAUUUUGGACCUGCAAUAUCAAAAACUUAUACCUUAGACAACAAAGCCAAGGGAAAAAAUCAUUUAAAAGCAUCAGAUUGACAAAAAUCCAAAACAAACAAGCUGUGAAUUUAAACAAUUCUUCACAUAGAACUUAUCCUGAAUGAUGCCAUGACUUUUCAAUAGGCUCUUAGCAUAUUGGAAUUGGAAUAAAUUGAGAAAUCAAAGAUAAAAAAUUAGUUCGCCAGUUAACCACUCGUGGCAGAUAUCACAUUGGAAGAAGAAACAACCAAGAACAAAGAUUCUCAAGCUCAACCGAAAGAAAGUGCACCGAUCAAAUACCCAAUAAUGUAGCACUCGAGUUGCUGCCUUAAGAACCAAUAGUUAGAUGUAGCAGAAAAAGAUCAGUCAUGUAGCAGCAGGUUGGCUGGAGCCCCUCGGGGUCAGCUCGGCUGGUGAGCCUCGGGGUAAUCCUCGGGGUAGCACAGGUUCGAGUCUGGCCUCACAUACCGUCUUGGUGCUCUUGGGGGGCGGGGUACUUCAGGCGCAGGAGAUUAGUCGGACCGCCUUCGAGUCUUGAUCCGGACAAUCCUGUGUUGACAAAAAAAAAAAAAAAAAAAUAAUAAUAAUAAUGUAGCAGCAGCUGGAGUAGCUACAGUAGCUACCGUAAAAACCAAUAAUUUGAUAUGGCAGAAAAAGAUCGGGCCAUGUGGCAGCAGCUGGAAUACUUACGGUCAGAAUUGGCUCUUACAAUAAGGAUGGGCCAUGUGUCAGCUGGAAUAGUUACAGU
Molecule: long non-coding RNA, 1180 nt
Filed under: Coffea arabica (coffee)
Lineage: Eukaryota; Viridiplantae; Streptophyta; Magnoliopsida; Gentianales; Rubiaceae
Description: long non-coding RNA (CARA_LNC007550)
Source: RNAcentral